Triticum aestivum (bread wheat) is the source of this 933-nucleotide long non-coding RNA. RefSeq lists it as uncharacterized. NCBI's taxonomy places the organism in Eukaryota, Viridiplantae, Streptophyta, Magnoliopsida, Poales, Poaceae. The record is from RefSeq and is a predicted model, not a curated record. The transcript is spliced from 2 exons.
UUUAAUAUGAGGAGUAAUCCCAUGCUACAAGGAAUGGGUUGAUCCAACCACUAGCGAAGCAUAGACAGAUGGAUUGCUCGGGUUUCGUCAACAGAUUAAGGUUUUUGGGUGCAUGAAACUCAAAUACAGGGUUUGAGAUUAUGAUUGCACAAACUCGCAAUUUCAAGCUACGAAGCACCGAUACGCCAGAAAUUGGAGUAUCGGCGUACUGAACGUUCCCGAUACGGCGAUACGCACGAUAUGGCUGGGAUACAGGUAUCGGCGAAGUAUCCUAUUUUCCGAUUUAAAAAGAAAAGAAAAAACAUCGAUACGUCCUGUGCAUCGUCUACGAUACGGGAGCGACACGGCAGCCCACUGGAAGGCCCAUGGCUAACCCUAGCAUCUGGGCUCCCUCUCUUUUGUUUUGUUCGCACGACAGGAGCUUGCACGAGGGAGCCGCCGCCGCUGGACAAGCCUCCCCGCCGGCCGCAGCCGCAGACUGGAGUCACUUGCCGCCUGGAGUGGCUCACCGGCGCCGCCUGGAAUUGCCUCGCUGCCGCCUCAACUCGCCCCCACCGGCUGGAAUCGCCUCUCCGCUUGAAUCUUCUGCUCUUCUCCACCGCCGUCGCAACUCACAAGAUUGCCGUAUCCCGUAUCACCGUACUCGUAUCGCCGUAUCGGUGUCGUUGUAUCGGUGCAACAUAGAUUUCAAGGACAAAAACAAUCGUGACAGUUAACAGUCCAGUGGUGAGGCCAAGAUGGAAAUGAUCAUUAAGCGUCCCGGUCUAGAUUCAAGGAUAGACGAAAGUAUAAGUGGACAUGUAAAUGAAAUGUAAGUGGAUUUACUUUUCGCCAUACGCCGCAAAGGUUCAACUAUUGUGGAUAACAACAACGGCACAGGAAAAUGUAAGUGGAUUUACCGGUUGAGUUGGGUAAAUUAGUUGGUUCAUUUCA